This is a long non-coding RNA of Cebus imitator (Panamanian white-faced capuchin), 1239 nucleotides long. RefSeq lists it as uncharacterized. The record is from RefSeq and is a predicted model, not a curated record. NCBI's taxonomy places the organism in Eukaryota, Metazoa, Chordata, Mammalia, Primates, Cebidae. The transcript has 3 exons.
CUGGGGAGCGGAGCCAGAGCCGGGCUGCCUGCCACCCGGCAGCUCGUCCGCUAGCUGGGGAGGAGCGCUCCGCUCGCAACUGACAAAGGAUGGGCGAACGCCCGCGCCCCGGGAUGCCGGCCGCGCGCAGCCUGGCGGCCGCCUGAGCGACCUCACCCUCCGCCGGAAAUGUACCCAAAAAGAACUCUGAGAGAAUAUACUCUAUUGCCCUGCUGUGAUUAAACAAGACUGCUGUAUUUUGUUUUAUGAAGAUGUUAAUGCAUUUAAACAAAAUAAUAGCCUGUAUCCUGAAUACAACUUUGUAAAAUAUGGGAAAGGUCUUCUGCAUGUGGUUGUUUCUUGUAACAGCCUUUGAGAGACACCGUGAACAAAAUUUACAUGAAAUUAAUCCAGGAACCAAAGUGAUUAUGACAGCAUUCUGAUUAUUUGGAAACACAGGGGAAAAGUCUGAAGAGUCUUGAGGAGUAAAUGGUUGGCACCUUAUUCCUUAGACAAUUAUCUUGCAUAUCAGCUAUCUCCAGCAGGCUUAAAAUAGGAGUUUUGUGGCAGACAACUCAUAAAUGAGGUUUUAAUGAGUAUGUGAAAGGCAGGCAUUUUUCAUUCAUGACUGAAAAAGCACCUCUACACUAUAGAUAUCAACCAUGUUGAAAACAAAGACAUUUCAUUGUGAAAGUUGAAGGCUAUGAAUUUAUUCAUUUAGGCAACACAUAUUCUAAUUUAGCCUGUAUUGCUUUUAAUUCUACUUAUCACCAGAAGUUGAGGUACCUAUGUGCAGGAUUAAAUUUGUUUUUGUCAGGAAGGAAUGCUAAAUGUUUAAAUGAAUGCUAAAAGGCUAUCUAAAAGUUGUAUAUGUCUAUGAAAGAUUUGGACAGAUUUUGGAGAUAUACUGCAUACUGUCAAACAAUAAAGCCCUGAGUUGACUCUGUUAAUGAGUUUAAUUAGAUUGAAAUUCUAUUGCAAUUAAUCUGCCAGGUGAACAUGGUUUAUACGUAGAUUUAUACAAAAUGUGCACAUUUCUCUUGCUAUUGUUUUAACCUAUGUUCUAUACUAGGUAGUUAUGAAAGUUUUGUUAUUUGGAAUAAAGCUCUUAACACCUCUAAAGAGGAAAUGUUUGCUAUGUAAUAUGAGUUUGAAUGAGUAAGUAUAAACACUGGAAGUCUUUAAAAGGAAAAUUCAGUUUCUUUUCAGUUAGAGAGAUUCAUGUAUGGAAUAGAGAUCAGUAAACAGACCAUCAGUUAA